UGGGGAAUAUUGCACAAUGGGCGCAAGCCUGAUGCAGCCAUGCCGCGUGUAUGAAGAAGGCCUUCGGGUUGUAAAGUACUUUCAGCGGGGAGGAAGGGAGUAAAGUUAAUACCUUUGCUCAUUGACGUUACCCGCAGAAGAAGCACCGGCUAACUCCGUGCCAGCAGCCGCGGUAAUACGGAGGGUGCAAGCGUUAAUCGGAAUUACUGGGCGUAAAGCGCACGCAGGCGGAUUGUUAAGUCAGAUGUGAAAUCCCCGGGCUCAACCUGGGAAAUGCAUCUGAUACUGGCAAGCUUGAGUCUCGUAGAGGGGGGUAGAAUUCCAGGUGUAGCGGUGAAAUGCGUAGAGAUCUGGAGGAAUACCGGUGGCGAAGGCGGCCCCCUGGACGAAGACUGACGCUCAGGUGCGAAAGCGUGGGGAGCAAACAGG
This 429-nucleotide ribosomal RNA is filed under the name Chloroflexota bacterium. RNAcentral's name for it is "Chloroflexi bacterium partial 16S ribosomal RNA". It matches the Rfam family "Bacterial small subunit ribosomal RNA", at positions 355 to 776 of the family's 1533-position model. The record is from RNAcentral. Lineage: Bacteria; Bacillati; Chloroflexota.